This 923-nucleotide small RNA is filed under the name Pan troglodytes (chimpanzee). Its description in RNAcentral is "processed transcript". Lineage: Eukaryota; Metazoa; Chordata; Mammalia; Primates; Hominidae. The record is from RNAcentral.
AUUUCCGGCGUUUGGGCGGGGCGCGGGCAGGGCGCGCUGCCCGGAGCUGCCUGGGUUGCGCUGCCGGCCACGUCCCCGCGCCGGGCCUCAGGCUCCUUCCUACUGUCCGAGGGCCACCAGGCCGCCGGGGGCCUGCUGCGCCCGGAUGCAUCUGUUACUAGAGUGGAGAGUCUACCUUCAUCUCACAUGUGCCACAAAGGAUGGCAUGGCCCAGGAGUGCCCCACCACGUGGCUUUCACCCCCUGCAAAGCCAGACUUCGCCCAGCGACACAGUGUCAAGCCCACAGCUCUCCAAGGAGGAAGAUGGUCCAGGCUGGGAGCAUGCCCUUAGCAGCAGCCUCUGCCAUGCGGCAUCCAACGAUCCACGUAAGUGAGAAAGCUGUGUGACUGCUGGAUGGGCCCACGGUGGCCACAAAGCAUGCUGAGCCCUUGAAAGCAGCAUCUGCAAACCCAGGCCAACGCGUCAGGAACCCCAGCCCUCCCAGGCAACUUUGUCCCUAACAAAAUGUGGAAGGGAUUAGUCAAGAGGAAUGCAUCUGUGGAAACAGUUGAUAAUAAAACGUCUGAGGAUGUAACCAUGGCAGCAGCUUCUCCUGUCACAUUGACCAAAGGGACUUCGGCAGCCCACCUCAACUCUAUGGAAGUCACAACAGAGGACACAAGCAGGACAGAUGUGAGUGAACCAGCAACUUCAGGAGGUGCAGCUGAUGGUGUGACCUCCAUUGCUCCCACGACUGUGGCCUCCAGUACGACUGCGGCCUCCAUUACGACUGCGGCCUCCAGUAUGACUGUGGCCUCCAGUGCUCCCAUGACUGCAGCCUCCAGUACAACUGUGGCCUCCAUUGCUCCCACGACUGCAGCCUCCAGCACUCCCAUGACACUUGCACCUCCCGCGCCCACGUCCACUUCCACAGGGCGGACCC